CCCUACGGGGGGCAGCAGUGGGGAAUAUUGCACAAUGGGGGAAACCCUGAUGCAGCGACGCCGCGUGAGUGAAGAAGUCAUUCGUGAUGUAAAGCUCUAUCAGCAGGGAAGAAAAUGACGGUACCUGACUAAGAAGCCCCGGCUAACUACGUGCCAGCAGCCGCGGUAAUACGUAGGGGGCAAGCGUUAUCCGGGUUUACUGGGUGUAAAGGGAGCGUAGACGGCAGCGCAAGUCCGAAGUGAAAGCCCGGGGCCCAACCCCGGGACUGCUUUGGAAACUGUGAAGCUGGAGUGCGGGAGGGGCG
RNAcentral lists this ribosomal RNA (305 nucleotides) under uncultured bacterium. Its description in RNAcentral is "bacterial SSU rRNA". It matches the Rfam family "Bacterial small subunit ribosomal RNA", at positions 337 to 659 of the family's 1533-position model. The record is from RNAcentral.